GUCCCUAUAAAACAGAUGCCGUCUCGCGCACAUCUAACCAGUCUCAUUACGUACUGCCCGCGAUAUAGACGUGUUCGACAAAAUUAAUCGUAUAUUAAAUUAAUAGAAUAUUGAUUGUUCUUUGUGUUAAAACAUUGCUAACGCCGAGGUAUCAAGUACAACGAAGGUGGGAGAUUACACAGUUCUCGUGGUGCGUCACCAAGAUGGCUGCCACAGUAGCAACGGGCCGGUGUAGCGAUUAUACUACAUUUGACGUGAUGGUGGUGUGGUUGGUCGACAACUCGAGACUGCGAAAAAAAACCGGCGGCACCAGAUCGAGUGGAGUUAUUGUAGAUUAUUUAAAGAGUUUCUUGAUAACGGGUUACAGCUACAAAAAUGCCAGAAAAUUAAGUAAACAAUUUGAAUGAAUAACAA
Spodoptera frugiperda (fall armyworm) is the source of this 414-nucleotide long non-coding RNA. RefSeq lists it as uncharacterized. The record is from RefSeq and is a predicted model, not a curated record. The transcript is spliced from 3 exons. Lineage: Eukaryota; Metazoa; Arthropoda; Insecta; Lepidoptera; Noctuidae.